Molecule: long non-coding RNA, 418 nt
Filed under: Homo sapiens (human)
Lineage: Eukaryota; Metazoa; Chordata; Mammalia; Primates; Hominidae
Description: HSALNT0228567
Source: RNAcentral
ACAGGACAUUGUGAUGGGCCCUUUAACCCAGUUUUACAGAUGAGGAAACUGAGACUUGGAAAACUAAAGUGACUUGCCCAAGGUGCUAAAAAGUAGUCAAGUCAGGAGUGGGCAGAGCCGAGAGCAGAUGUGCCUUGGAGCAAGGGCCUGGUGGAAACCCAUCUCAGAAUUUGAGACUUUGUCCUGAUUGGAAGCCAGAACCCAAAAGGAGCCUCUCAGGGGCCUGAACCAUUGAGUUAUGAAUGCUCACCCCACAGACCAGCUGCAUCAGAUUCACCUGGCUGCUGUUUUGAAUACAGAUGACAAGGCCUCACAUCUGACCUACUUAACCAGACACAGCUGAGCAAGAGCCCUGGGGAUCUUUUUUAAAAAAAUCAGCCCAUAGGGCCAGGCGCCAUGGCUCACGCCUGUAAUCCCA